This 418-nucleotide ribosomal RNA is filed under the name uncultured bacterium. RNAcentral's name for it is "bacterial SSU rRNA". It matches the Rfam family "Bacterial small subunit ribosomal RNA", at positions 355 to 776 of the family's 1533-position model. The record is from RNAcentral.
UCGAGAAUAUUCCACAAUGGGCGAAAGCCUGAUGGAGCGACGCCGCGUGCAGGAAGAAGGUCUUAGGAUUGUAAACUGCUUUUCUACGGGAAGAAGGUACGACAAGUACUGUGACGGUACCGUAGGAAUAAGUGGCUGCAAACUUCGUGCCAGCAGCCGCGGUAAUACGAAGGCCACAAGCGUUAUCCGGAUUUAUUGGGUGUAAAGGGCGCGUAGGCGGUUUGGUGCGUCUUCUGUUAAAUUCCACUGCUCAACGGUGGAGCUGCAGGAGAUACGGCCAAACUCGAGAGUGUUAGAGGCAAAUGGAACUCAUGGUGUAGGGGUGAAAUCCGUUGAUAUCAUGGGGAACACCGAAGGCGAAGGCAAUUUGCUGGGACAUUUCUGACGCUGAGGCGCGAAAGCGUGGGGAGCAAAAAGG